RNAcentral lists this ribosomal RNA (435 nucleotides) under uncultured bacterium. Its description in RNAcentral is "partial 16S ribosomal RNA". It matches the Rfam family "Bacterial small subunit ribosomal RNA", at positions 29 to 507 of the family's 1533-position model. The record is from RNAcentral.
AACGAACGCUGGCGGCAUGCCUAACACAUGCAAGUCGAACGAUUGCCUUCGGGUGAUAUUGGCGCACGGGUGCGUAACGCGGGGGAAUCGGCCCUUAGAUUCGGAAUAACAGUUGGAAACGGCUGCUAAUACCGGAUGAUAUCGCGAGAUCAAAGAUUUAUCGCCGGAGGAUGAGCCCGCGUUGGAUUAGGUAGUUGGUGGGGUAAAGGCCUACCAAGCCGACGAUCCAUAGAUGGUCUGUGAGGAAGAUCAGACACACUGGGACUGAGACACGGCCGAGACUCCUACGGGAGGCAGCAGAGGGGGAUAUUGGACAAUCGGCGCAAGCAUGAACCAGCAAGGCCGCGAGAGUGAUGAAGGCGCUAGGGUUGUAAAGCACGUUUAUCCGGGAAGAUAAUGACGGUACCGGAAGAAUAAGCCCCGGCUAACUCCGUG